This 371-nucleotide long non-coding RNA is filed under the name Homo sapiens (human). RNAcentral's name for it is "HSALNT0001804". The stretch from base 1 to 112 matches the Rfam family "U5 spliceosomal RNA". The record is from RNAcentral. Lineage: Eukaryota; Metazoa; Chordata; Mammalia; Primates; Hominidae.
GUUUCUCUUCAUAUCGCAUAAAUCUUUCGCCUUUUACUAAAGAUUUCCGUGGAGAGGAAUAAUUCUGAGUUUUAAACCAAUUUUUUAGAGGUCUUGCAUUUUUUAGCAAGGCUUAUUUGAGCGUUUUAAAAGUAGAUGCCCUUAGCCAUUACGACGGUUCGUAUUUACUCUGAAACAAGAAACACACUCAAAACUCAGAGAAAACAUUGUUCCCUAGUAUUUGAGUCUGAAGGACCAGAGCUGGCUUCUGGAGGAGCAGCUGGCCUUGGGGGAAAAGGACAAUUUACCCUCCUACGUAGCUUGAAUGGGGCUUUGAGUCGCAUGGCGGGGCACGGCGGGGCACGGCGGGGCACGGCGGGGCACGGCGGGGC